GAGUUUGAUCAUGGCUCAGAUUGAACGCUGGCGGCAGGCCUAACACAUGCAAGUCGAACGGUAACAGGAAACAGCUUGCUGUUUCGCUGACGAGUGGCGGACGGGUGAGUAAUGUCUGGGAAACUGCCUGAUGGAGGGGGAUAACUACUGGAAACGGUAGCUAAUACCGCAUAACGUCGCAAGACCAAAGAGGGGGACCUUCGGGCCUCUUGCCAUCAGAUGUGCCCAGAUGGGAUUAGCUAGUAGGUGGGGUAACGGCUCACCUAGGCGACGAUCCCUAGCUGGUCUGAGAGGAUGACCAGCCACACUGGAACUGAGACACGGUCCAGACUCCUACGGGAGGCAGCAGUGGGGAAUAUUGCACAAUGGGCGCAAGCCUGAUGCAGCCAUGCCGCGUGUAUGAAGAAGGCCUUCGGGUUGUAAAGUACUUUCAGCGGGGAGGAAGGGAGUAAAGUUAAUACCUUUGCUCAUUGACGUUACCCGCAGAAGAAGCACCGGCUAACUCCGUGCCAGCAGCCGCGGUAAUACGGAGGGUGCAAGCGUUAAUCGGAAUUACUGGGCGUAAAGCGCACGCAGGCGGUUUGUUAAGUCAGAUGUGAAAUCCCCGGGCUCAACCUGGGAACUGCAUCUGAUACUGGCAAGCUUGAGUCUCGUAGAGGGGGGUAGAAUUCCAGGUGUAGCGGUGAAAUGCGUAGAGAUCUGGAGGAAUACCGGUGGCGAAGGCGGCCCCCUGGACGAAGACUGACGCUCAGGUGCGAAAGCGUGGGAGCAAACAGGAUUAGAUACCCUGGUAGUCCACGCCGUAAACGAUGUCGACUUGGAGGUUGUGCCCUUGAGGCGUGGCUUCCGGAGCUAACGCGUUAAGUCGACCGCCUGGGGAGUACGGCCGCAAGGUUAAAACUCAAAUGAAUUGACGGGGGCCCGCACAAGCGGUGGAGCAUGUGGUUUAAUUCGAUGCAACGCGAAGAACCUUACCUGGUCUUGACAUCCACGGAAGUUUUCAGAGAUGAGAAUGUGCCUUCGGGAACCGUGAGACAGGUGCUGCAUGGCUGUCGUCAGCUCGUGUUGUGAAAUGUUGGGUUAAGUCCCGCAACGAGCGCAACCCUUAUCCUUUGUUGCCAGCGGUCCGGCCGGGAACUCAAAGGAGACUGCCAGUGAUAAACUGGAGGAAGGUGGGGAUGACGUCAAGUCAUCAUGGCCCUUACGACCAGGGCUACACACGUGCUACAAUGGCGCAUACAAAGAGAAGCGACCUCGCGAGAGCAAGCGGACCUCAUAAAGUGCGUCGUAGUCCGGAUUGGAGUCUGCAACUCGACUCCAUGAAGUCGGAAUCGCUAGUAAUCGUGGAUCAGAAUGCCACGGUGAAUACGUUCCCGGGCCUUGUACACACCGCCCGUCACACCAUGGGAGUGGGUUGCAAAAGAAGUAGGUAGCUUAACCUUCGGGAGGGCGCUUACCACUUUGUGAUUCAUGACUGGGGUGAAGUCGUAACAAGGUAACCGUAGGGGAACCUGCGGUUG
RNAcentral lists this ribosomal RNA (1520 nucleotides) under metagenome. RNAcentral's name for it is "bacterial SSU rRNA". It matches the Rfam family "Bacterial small subunit ribosomal RNA". The record is from RNAcentral.